GGAGAGAUGGCUGAGUGGUUGAAAGCGCCGGAUUCCUAAUCCGUUACAUAGUUUAUUCUAUGUCGAGGGUUCAAAUCCCUUUCUCUCCG
This 89-nucleotide transfer RNA is filed under the name Hafniomonas laevis. Its description in RNAcentral is "tRNA-Arg". It matches the Rfam family "tRNA". Rfam says of the family: Transfer RNA (tRNA) molecules are approximately 80 nucleotides in length. Their secondary structure includes four short double-helical elements and three loops (D, anti-codon, and T loops). Lineage: Eukaryota; Viridiplantae; Chlorophyta; Chlorophyceae; Chlamydomonadales; Dunaliellaceae. The record is from RNAcentral.